CAGUGGGGAUAUUGGACAAUGGGCGAAAGCCUGAUCCAGCCAUGCCGCGUGUGUGAAGAAGGUCUUCGGAUUGUAAAGCACUUUAAGUUGGGAGGAAGGGUUGUAGAUUAAUACUCUGCAAUUUUGACGUUACCGACAGAAUAAGCACCGGCUAACUCUGUGCCAGCAGCCGCGGUAAUACAGAGGGUGCAAGCGUUAAUCGGAAUUACUGGGCGUAAAGCGCGCGUAGGUGGUUAGUUAAGUUGGAUGUGAAAUCCCCGGGCUCAACCUGGGAACUGCAUUCAAAACUGACUGACUAGAGUAUGGUAGAGGGUGGUGGAAUUUCCUGUGUAGCGGUGAAAUGCGUAGAUAUAGGAAGGAACACCAGUGGCGAAGGCGACCACCUGGACUGAUACUGACACUGAGGUGCGAAAGCGUGGGGAGCAAACAGGAUUAGAUACCCUGGUAGUCCACGCCGUAAACGAUGUCAACUAGCCGUUGGGAGCCUUGAGCUCUUAGUGGCGCAGCUAACGCAUUAAGUUGACCGCCUGGGGAGUACGGCCGCAAGGUUAAAACUCAAAUGAAUUGACGGGGGCCCCGCACAAG
This 585-nucleotide ribosomal RNA is filed under the name Pseudomonas sp. RNAcentral describes it as "bacterial SSU rRNA". It matches the Rfam family "Bacterial small subunit ribosomal RNA", at positions 352 to 929 of the family's 1533-position model. The record is from RNAcentral. Lineage: Bacteria; Pseudomonadati; Pseudomonadota; Gammaproteobacteria; Pseudomonadales; Pseudomonadaceae.